This 60-nucleotide microRNA precursor is filed under the name Gyrodactylus salaris (gyrodactylosis fluke). RNAcentral's name for it is "microRNA gsa-mir-67 precursor". Its record names the gene gsa-mir-67. The record is from miRBase by way of RNAcentral. Lineage: Eukaryota; Metazoa; Platyhelminthes; Monogenea; Gyrodactylidea; Gyrodactylidae.
UCUCACAAUGGAGGUUGAGCGCAAUUCUGACCGUUGUCACAACCUCCUUGAUUGAGAUGA